GUGGGGAAUAUUGGUCAAUGGGGGAAACCCUGAACCAGCGACGCCGCGUGAGUGAAGAAGUAUUUCGGUAUGUAAAGCUCUAUCAGCAGGGACGAUAAUGACGGUACCUGACUAAGAAGCCCCGGCUAACUACGUGCCAGCAGCCGCGGUAAUACGUAGGGGGCAAGCGUUAUCCGGAUUUACUGGGUGUAAAGGGAGUGUAGGUGGCCGUGCAAGUCAGAUGUGAAAUCCCGGGGCUCAACCCCGUGACUGCAUUUGAAACUGCGUGGCUGGAGUGCAGGAGAGGUAAGCGGAAUUCCUAGUGGAGCGGUGAAAUGCGUAGAUAUUAGGAGGAACACCGGUGGCGAAGGCGGCUUACUGGACUGUAACUGACACUGAGGCUCGAAAGCGUGGGGAGCAAACAGG
This 405-nucleotide ribosomal RNA is filed under the name uncultured rumen bacterium. RNAcentral's name for it is "bacterial SSU rRNA". It matches the Rfam family "Bacterial small subunit ribosomal RNA", at positions 354 to 776 of the family's 1533-position model. The record is from RNAcentral.